GAUGAACGCUAGCUACAGGCUUAACACAUGCAAGUCGAGGGGAAACGGCAUCGAAAGCUUGCUUUUGAUGGGCGUCGACCGGCGCACGGGUGAGUACGCGUAUCCAACCUGCCCAUCACUUGGGAAUAACCUUGCGAAAGUAAGACUAAUGCCCAAUGACAUCCCACGAAGGCAUCCGAAUGGGAUUAAAGAUUUAUCGGUGAUGGAUGGGGAUGCGUCUGAUUAGCUUGUUGGCGGGGUGACGGCCCACCAAGGCAACGAUCAGUAGGGGUUCUGAGAGGAAGGUCCACCACAUUGGAACUGAGACACGGUCCAAACUCCUACGGGAGGCAGCAGUGAGGAAUAUUGGUCAAUGGGCGAGAGCCUGAACCAGCCAAGUAGCGUGCAGGAUGACGGCCCUAUGGGUUGUAAACUGCUUUUAUAAGGGAAUAAAGUGGGUCACGUGUGACUUUUUGCAUGUACCUUAUGAAUAAGGACCGGCUAAUUCCGUG
RNAcentral lists this ribosomal RNA (491 nucleotides) under uncultured bacterium. RNAcentral's name for it is "partial 16S ribosomal RNA". It matches the Rfam family "Bacterial small subunit ribosomal RNA", at positions 28 to 507 of the family's 1533-position model. The record is from RNAcentral.